CGCAGUAGUAAGCCGGACCACAAGGCAUUCGGGGGCAGGGACGGGGGACCCAAUACCGGUCACUUCCGCAUCGUCGCUCCGGCGGCGUCUCGGGAGGACCUCGGGGUGAAGCCGCCCACCCGCGGCCGGGCAAGCCUUCCCGCCCGAACCCGACAGCUAACCUCGCAGGCGUGCCGGAGGGAAUUC
Molecule: small RNA, 186 nt
Filed under: Actinoplanes utahensis
Lineage: Bacteria; Bacillati; Actinomycetota; Actinomycetes; Micromonosporales; Micromonosporaceae
Description: c-di-AMP sequence
Rfam family: c-di-AMP riboswitch aptamer (ydaO/yuaA leader)
About the family: This family represents a conserved RNA structure found upstream of the ydaO and yuaA genes in Bacillus subtilis and related genes in other bacteria. The ydaO/yuaA element is thought to act as a genetic "off" switch for the ydaO and yuaA genes in its native state.
Source: Rfam by way of RNAcentral